This 84-nucleotide transfer RNA is filed under the name Micromonospora sp. NBRC 107095. Its description in RNAcentral is "tRNA-Asp". Lineage: Bacteria; Bacillati; Actinomycetota; Actinomycetes; Micromonosporales; Micromonosporaceae. The record is from RNAcentral.
UCCGGCCUGGGCCGGACCCCCGCACCGUUGUCGCCGGUCCGGCGGCGUCACUCGUCGUCCCGGGGGUCGUUUCCCCGGUCAUGA